Molecule: small RNA, 852 nt
Filed under: Pongo abelii (Sumatran orangutan)
Lineage: Eukaryota; Metazoa; Chordata; Mammalia; Primates; Hominidae
Description: processed transcript
Source: RNAcentral
GGAAUUUCUCACGCUCGCGGCACGCGUCUGAACGGGGCCACCUCAGGGGACCCAGCAGCUACCGACCCAAAGAACCGUUCCGGUCUCAUCCGCCCUCUGUACGGAUGCCUUCGAGCUCACUGUCCGAAAGCAGUCCCCGGCCGUCUUUCUGGGAGCGGAGCCACCUCGCCUUGGACCGUUUCCGCUUUCGAGGCAGGCCUUACCGGGGUGGGAGUCGCUGGAGUCGGGGACGAGGAGUGGGUGAGCGAGGAGGCAAGCCGGGGUGCAGACCUCCUCUGGGAGGAGGAGCAGGAUCCGGGUUCAGCAGCAGUCAGAGCUGGCGAGAGCCCUCUCCACCUCGGAAGAGCUGUAUCCUUAACGUGGCGGUCGGCGCUGGAUGCUGCACUUAAAAGGAUGCUUGUUUUGAUCUUCUGCUCAUUGUUUUCCUCAUGAACCAAAAGUUUUGGAAGGUCUCCAUCAAGAAAACAAAAUUAUUCAUCAAAAAAUGAAAACUCUGUGGAAGAAACUUUUGAAGAUUUGCUUUUAAAAUAUAAGCAAAUACAGUUGGAACUAGAAUGCAUCAAUAAGGAUGAAAAACUAGCAUUGAGUAGCAAAGAAGAGAAUGUGCAGGAAGAUCCUAAAACAUUGAACUUUGAGGACCAAACUAGCACUGAUAAUGUCAGUAUUACAAAGGAUUCAAGUAAAGAAGUAGCUCCUGAGGAGAAAACACAAGUCAAAACUUUUCAGGCAUUUGAAUUAAAACCACUCAGGCAAAAAUUGACUUUACCAGGAGAUAAGAACCGUUUGAAAAAAGUUAAAGAUGGAGCAAAACCACUUUCCCUGAAAUCCGACACUACUGAUUCUAGUCAAGGU